ACGGAGGAUGCAAGCGUUAUCCGGAAUGAUUGGGCGUAAAGGGUCCGCAGGUGGCAUUGUAAGUCUGCUGUUAAAGAGUUUGGCUCAACCAAAUAAAAGCAGUGGAAACUACAAAGCUAGAGUUUGGUCGGGGCAGAGGGAAUUCCUGGUGUAGCGGUGAAAUGCGUAGAUAUCAGGAAGAACACCAGUGGCGAAGGCGCUCUGCUAGGCCGAGACUGACACUGAGGGACGAAAGCUAGGGGAGCGAAUGGGAUUAGAUACCCCAGUAGUCCUAGCCGUAAACGAUGGAUACUAGGCGUAGCUCGUAUCGACCCGAGCUGUGCCGGAGCUAACGCGUUAAGUAUCCCGCCUGGGGAGUACGCAGGCAACUGUG
RNAcentral lists this ribosomal RNA (373 nucleotides) under uncultured bacterium. Its description in RNAcentral is "bacterial SSU rRNA". It matches the Rfam family "Bacterial small subunit ribosomal RNA", at positions 525 to 896 of the family's 1533-position model. The record is from RNAcentral.